This 29-nucleotide non-coding RNA is filed under the name Mus musculus (house mouse). The record is from RNAcentral. Lineage: Eukaryota; Metazoa; Chordata; Mammalia; Rodentia; Muridae.
UAGGCUUGACGGUGCUUAUGCUUAGACAU